Molecule: ribosomal RNA, 301 nt
Filed under: uncultured bacterium
Lineage: Bacteria
Description: partial 16S ribosomal RNA
Rfam family: Bacterial small subunit ribosomal RNA
Source: RNAcentral
CAGCAGCCGCGGGAAUACGAAGGGUGCAAGCGUUAAUCGGAAUUACUGGGCGUAAAGCGUGCGUAGGCGGUGAGUUAAGUCUGCUGUGAAAUCCCCGGGCUCAACCUGGGAAUGGCAGUGGAUACUGGCUCGCUAGAGUGUGUCAGAGGAUGGUGGAAUUCCCGGUGUAGCGGUGAAAUGCGUAGAGAUCGGGAGGAACAUCAGUGGCGAAGGCGGCCAUCUGGGACAACACUGACGCUGAGGCACGAAAGCGUGGGGAGCAAACAGGAUUAGAGACCCCUGUAGUCCCUGUCUCUUAUAC